GACGAACGCUGGCGGCGUGCUUAAUACAUGCAAGUCGAGCGAGGUUACUGUUUCGGAUCCCUUCGGGGUGAAGAAGCUUUAACCUAGCGGUGGACGGGUGAGUAACGCGUGGGUAACCUACCCCAAAGUCCGGGAUAACAGCGGGAAACCGCUGCUAAUACCGGAUGUCUUUACCUUGGGGCAUCUUGAGGUAAAGAAAGGUAACGCUUUGGGAUGGGCCCGCGUCCCAUUAGCUAGUUGGUGAGGUAACGGCUCACCAAGGCGACGAUGGGUAGCCGGCCUGAGAGGGUGGACGGCCACACUGGGACUGAGACACGGCCCAGACUCCUACGGGAGGCAGCAGUAGGGAAUAUUGCGCAAUGGACGGAAGUCUGACGCAGCGACGCCGCGUGAGCGAUGAAGGUCUUCGGAUCGUAAAGCUCUGUCCUUGGGGAAGAAGGUCUUCGGACUUGACGGUACCCAAGAAGAAAGCCCCGGCUAACUACGUG
RNAcentral lists this ribosomal RNA (488 nucleotides) under uncultured bacterium. RNAcentral's name for it is "bacterial SSU rRNA". It matches the Rfam family "Bacterial small subunit ribosomal RNA", at positions 28 to 507 of the family's 1533-position model. The record is from RNAcentral.